This 565-nucleotide ribosomal RNA is filed under the name Trichosporon japonicum. RNAcentral's name for it is "partial large subunit ribosomal RNA". It matches the Rfam family "Eukaryotic large subunit ribosomal RNA", at positions 101 to 655 of the family's 3401-position model. The record is from RNAcentral. Lineage: Eukaryota; Fungi; Basidiomycota; Tremellomycetes; Trichosporonales; Trichosporonaceae.
GGAAGAGCUCAAAUUUGAAAUCUGGCAGUCUUCGAUUGUCCGAGUUGUAAUCUAUAGAGGCGUUUUCCGUGCCGGACCGUGUCCAAGUCUCCUGGAAAGGAGUAUCAAAGAGGGUGAUAAUCCCGUACUUAACACGACCACCGGUGCUCUGUGAUACGUCUUCUACGAGUCGAGUUGUUUGGGAAUGCAGCUCAAAAUGGGUGGUGAAUUCCAUCUAAAGCUAAAUAUUGGCGAGAGACCGAUAGCGAACAAGUACCGUGAGGGAAAGAUGAAAAGCACUUUGGAAAGAGAGUUAAACAGUACGUGAAAUUGUUGAAAGGGAAACGAUUGAAGUCAGUCGUGUUCUUUGGAUUCAGCCAGUUCUGCUGGUCUACUUCCUUGGAACGGGUCAACAUCAGUUUUGUCCGGUGGAUAAAGGUAGUAGGAAUGUGACUUCUCCGGAAGUGUUAUAGCCUAUUAUCACAUACACUGGGUGAGACUGAGGACUGCAGCUCGCCUUUAUGGCCGGUCUUCGGACACGUUCGAGCUUAGGAUGUUGACAUAAUGGCUUUAAACGACCCGUCUU